UACAGAGGUGGCAAGCGUUGUUCGGAAUUACUGGGCGUAAAGGGCGCGUAGGCGGCCUUCUAAGUCGGACGUGAAAUCCCCAGGCUUAACUUGGGAACUGCGUCCGAUACUGGAGGGCUUGAGUGCGGGAGAGGGAUGUGGAAUUCCAGGUGUAGCGGUGAAAUGCGUAGAUAUCUGGAGGAACACCGGUGGCGAAGGCGGCAUCCUGGACCGACACUGACGCUGAUGCGCGAAAGCUAGGGGAGCAAACAGG
This 253-nucleotide ribosomal RNA is filed under the name uncultured bacterium. Its description in RNAcentral is "partial 16S ribosomal RNA". It matches the Rfam family "Bacterial small subunit ribosomal RNA", at positions 524 to 776 of the family's 1533-position model. The record is from RNAcentral.